CCCUUAGAUGUUCUGGGCCGCACGCGCGCUACACUGACGAUGGCAACGAGUUUUUCCUUCGCCGAAAGGUGUGGGUAAUCUUUUGAAACAUCGUCGUGCUGGGGAUAGAUCAUUGCAAUUUUUGAUCUUGAACGAGGCAUUCCUAGUAAGCGCGAGUCAUCAGCUCGCGUUGAUUACGUCCCUGCCCUUUGUACACACCGCCCGUCGCUACUACCGAUUGAAUGGUUUAGUGAGGACUCCUGAUUGGCGCCGCCGCCCCGGCAACGGAGCAGCGGACUGCCGAAAAGUUGUUCAAACUUGAUCAUUUAGAGGAAGUAAAAGUCGUAACA
RNAcentral lists this ribosomal RNA (329 nucleotides) under uncultured eukaryote. Its description in RNAcentral is "partial 18S ribosomal RNA". It matches the Rfam family "Eukaryotic small subunit ribosomal RNA", at positions 1470 to 1796 of the family's 1831-position model. The record is from RNAcentral.